CUCUGCCUAGACUCACUCACUACCUUGGCUUCCAGCCUCUAAUCCCAGUGCCCAUGACCUCCCUAGAGGGCCUUUCUCUCAGAUCAUCAAAUCCUGGCCUAUUGUGACACCUCAGUGCCAACAUUAGCACUGACUUUAACACAUACAUUGGCAGACCCAAAGUCCAGUUACCUUGCAGUUCUGUUGGGCAGAGGUUACUCACAGCUGUCAUAUUUGGGAGGAGGCUCUUUCUCCAUUUAAAGAUAUCGCCAACUGCCUAUGUUCACCAGUAUUUGGAGACUGGCAAUUUUAAGAGUGUUAAGAGGCCAUCUUUGUUAGCAUUUGAAAUUUCUCUGCCCAUGUGUAAGUCUACUGAUAAAUCAAAUUUUGAAACUGUAUAUGGGGUAUUAUUUGAAGUACUCUUUUGA
This 407-nucleotide long non-coding RNA is filed under the name Capra hircus (goat). RNAcentral's name for it is "lncRNA (ENSCHIG00000004123.1)". Lineage: Eukaryota; Metazoa; Chordata; Mammalia; Artiodactyla; Bovidae. The record is from RNAcentral.